RNAcentral lists this ribosomal RNA (492 nucleotides) under uncultured bacterium. RNAcentral's name for it is "partial 16S ribosomal RNA". It matches the Rfam family "Bacterial small subunit ribosomal RNA", at positions 29 to 507 of the family's 1533-position model. The record is from RNAcentral.
AGUGAACGCUGGCGGUAGGCCUAACACAUGCAAGUCGAACGGCAGCACAGUAAGAGCUUGCUCUUACGGGUGGCGAGUGGCGGACGGGUGAGGAAUACAUCGAAAUCUACUUUUUCGUGGGGGAUAACGUAGGGAAACUUACGCUAAUACCGCAUACGACCUACGGGUGAAAGCAGGGGAUCUUCGGACCUUGCGCGAUUGAAUGAGCCGAUGUCGGAUUAGCUAGUUGGCGGGGUAAAGGCCCACCAAGGCGACGAUCCGUAGCUGGUCUGAGAGGAUGAUAGGCCACACUGGAACUGAGACACGGUCCAGACUCCUACGGGAGGCAGCAGUGGGGAAUAUUGGACAAUGGGCGCAAGCCUGAUCCAGCCAUACCGCGUGGGUGAAGAAGGCCUUCGGGUUGUAAAGCCCUUUUGUUGGGAAAGAAAGGCAGCAGGUUAAUACCCCGCUGUUCUGACGGUACCCAAAGAAUAAGCACCGGCUAACUUCGUG